CCGCGUGAUGACGAAGAACUGAUCUCCUACGUCCUUGCCGGCCUCGACGAUGACUACGAGCCGGUCGUCUCCUCUCUCUUGGGCAGAUCGGAGGCGGUCUCCUUCUUCGAGUGCUACUCCCAGCUCUUGAGCUUCGAAU
Molecule: small nucleolar RNA, 139 nt
Filed under: Oryza meridionalis
Lineage: Eukaryota; Viridiplantae; Streptophyta; Magnoliopsida; Poales; Poaceae
Description: snoRNA snoZ247
Rfam family: Small nucleolar RNA Z247
About the family: Z247 is a member of the C/D class of snoRNA which contain the C (UGAUGA) and D (CUGA) box motifs.
Source: Rfam by way of RNAcentral